GCCUCACAAUUCUAUAAGAGAGGAGGAAGAAGAAUCGUCAGACUAAUGGGUUUGGGAAGUAUUCACUAUUGUGAUCUUCUAAGCUCCAUAUUUCUCACUCUUCUGGAUAGGUCAUCUACAGGGAAAAUAUUUCAGUGGUCCAUUAGGACAGAUUCUUUCUUACAAGUCAAUAAGGAUUGUGUUUCCAUCUCCAUCUGACAUACUUUCAUCUUCCAUAUUGUUUGGAAGUAGUAUAGGAAAGAUAAGGGCUAUCAUAGUAUUGUUUCCGUAGCUUCCGAUAUCUUUAUCUUACAUGGAGAGCUAGCUAUGGACAAUAGCCCUACAAGAACAAAUCUCAUUAAGACAAACAUUGACAGGAAUAGAGGAGGGAUAUGUUAAUGCUAAGUGACCCAGUGCGUUGCCAUAGGAACAACAAUGAUCUAAUAUUUAUUAAGAGCUACCUUUGUGAGAAGAAUUGCUUAAAAUACUGUAACUUUAGAAAUCUAUUUGUUUCCAUGAUAACCAUGUUAUAGAGAUGAAACUGAAACACGGGAAAAGUGAAUGACUUACAAAAAUUCUGCUAGAAUUGUGGUACAAGGAAAUGGAUCCAGAAAUUCUUGCUGUAGUAUGUUAUGUACAAUCACUGUGCUAUAAAACUAGAAGCCAUUAAGAGUAAAAGAAAGAGCCUGAAUACAAGGAACAGACGCAGGAUAAACCACCCCAAGUUUCUGUGGUAAACUUCCAAGGUUGUCCUACUCAGAUGGACUGUCUAAAAUCUCCGUAAAAUAACCAGGUGAUUACCAUUGAUGUGAGCUGAUUCACUGGGAGACUGGAAAAUGAUAGGGAACGUGAUAAUGAGUUUAAAAAUCUCUCUCCACUCAUCCUUGUUUUACAUAUUUAUAAUAUGCACAGCACAGGUCUCAGGAUGCCUAAGAUGACUGAUUUUUUCAUAAAGAGAACUUGUCAGGCUGAUUAGCUGAGAAAGGCUCUCUUGACUGUUCAGCUGAGAAAAAUUGAAGAAAUUUUCUUUGAUCCUGGAGGAUAUCGUAAUGGCCUGCUAUGAUAUGAAUGUGCCUCCCCACUGCCCCAUAAUUCAGACAUGACCAGCAUAAUAAUUUAAAAAGAAAUGGCUUUUUUUUAAAGGUGAUUGGACCAUGAGUCCAUUCGAUACAUCAAGGAGAUUAGACAUCCUCACCCUUAAUGUUUUCAUCAAGAAAGAAAUUCCAUAUUUUGCCUUCUGUCUUCUACCAUUUAAAGAGGACAUAGCAAUAAUACCCUCAUUAGAUAUUAGUAUCUUGAUUUUUGACAUUUUAGUUAUAAUUAGUGUAUGAAAUAAGUCUGCAUGCUUGAUACAUGACUGAGUUGGUGGUCUAUUGUUUUAGUGUCAGAGACAAGAAGGAAAUUGCCACGAGAGAACUGGAGUGUUUAUGUAACACAUCCUGAGGAUGUGCAUGUGAUUGCAGAGUGAAGUAUUGGGUAGAGGCUAAGGGAAGUCCUUUGUUUUCGGGUAGAUUACUGAGAAUGAGUACUUAUAAAACAAAAAGGUAUAAAGAAUGCCCUUCUUUAUUAGAUUACUUGAGUGCCAAUAAACAGCAUGUUAGUGGAAAUAUGACCAAUAAAAGCAAUUUCCGAUGAGCUUCCAGAUAAAAGUGGGAAACAGGAUUGUGGAAGCCAUAGAAAGGUCAUCUAUUCCAUAAUUCCUAAAACUCAGCUGAGUUGUGUUUAUUUCCUAGGGCUUUUCAGAAAGAAACAGAAGCUAUGAAUUAAGAUGCUUGGUGGAAGAAAUCUAAGCAGAAAAAUGUUCAGGGUACUGUGUAGGGCUUCUCUUACUUGGCUGUAGUAAAAUAGAAGAUGAGAAUAAAAGAUUUUAAGAUAGAGGUUAUAAUCAACAGAGAAGGAGACAGUAAAGAGUUGGAAAAUUGGCAGACUGGUUGUAUGAGAAAAGGUAUAUUCAGUAUAGGUAACCCAUGGUGGGGCUAAGGAACUCACUAUUUAGGAGCUUAAUAAGGAAGAAAGAAACUAGGUACCAUUCCUUAAAACAGUAGGAGAAUGAUCUUAAAAUAUUUUGGAGAUUUUCUUGAUGCACUAGAAAGUGGGAGGUAGAAGCUUGUGGUCUUUAGAUGACUGAUCCCUGAGGUUCCACAAAUAUCUUAGACGCUUUUUUUAAGCAAUUCCUUUGCCCUCUGGACAUGAGAUAAGUGUGGAAACAUAUGUGGUGUGUGUGUGUGUGUGUGUGUGUGUGUGUGUGUGUGUGUGUGUGUGUAUGUGUGUGUAUGAUCUACUGAGUCAAAAAUUAGUGCUAUCCAAAUGUGUAUGGGUAGUAAGCCUUUCAAUGGAGCAUGAUCAACCCACUAGAGGUAAUAUACCUGAAGAAAACUGAUUCUGACAACUUCUAGUCAACAUCUCCUUUACUAGAGAUGGAUCUCUCAACCCAUCCAUGCUGACAACCAGAACUGAGUUCCACAUUGCAGUAGCGUUGUUAUGUCUAGGAGAUACCAUUUGCUUGCUUUACAGCAGCGUUUGCCAACCUCUAGAUCUUAAAAUCUUUUAGACUUUAUCGCAGCACCCAAAUCCUCAGUAUCAAUUUUCUGUGUCAGUCAGACUUCCUUCUGACAAACACCCGAGAGGAACAAUGUUUAAACGUGGAUAUAUUUUGCCUCCUAAUUUGAGACAUUUUAGUUCUAGUGCAGCUGGAUCUAUUUGCAGUGAUCUUGAGGAAAGCCAGAGAGUCUGACAAUGGUGUAAACAUGUGGCUGACCCUGCUCAUUUCCUGGAAGCCAAGAAGUAGAGCGAGAAAGAAAAGCAAGACCAGGACCUGGGUUUACUUUCCAGCACCUACCUGGCAGCUCACAAUAGCUUGGUACUCCAGUUCCAGGGGAUGUAAUUCCCUCUUCUGACCUCUGAAAGUAUCAGACAAACAUGUGGCACACACAUGCAUGCAGUGGCACUAUUUUUCUAUAUUCUGGAAGCUUUACGAUGUACCUGCCAGAGUAAGAAGAUCACUAGCAGCACUGCAGCGUGCAUUUGAGGGAUGUAUUAUUUCUACCCUUCUGUCUUAUUCCAGCUUCCUGGCUAUCAUAAGUGCUCACUUUGAAGUUGGAAUGGCUAUGCUAUAUUUUCCACCAUUGCAUUUUGAAGAUACAUAACUUACUCGAUUUUACAAGCUCCAAGCUCGAGAGAAUUUUCAUCAGGAUGAUUCAUACCGGAAAUCGCAUUCAUACAGACAGUAUUUGAGAUAUAUGCUACAAAUAUGAUGGUAGAAUUAGUUCAGUUUUUCCAGGGAUAUUUACAUUUAAAAAAUAUAUAUAUUUUGUAUGUGAAGAGCACAUGCUUUUACGUGGUACAAGCACAGCAUUCUAUGCUUUGAAGAAACGCCCUCUAAAACUCCUGUGCUGUGCUCAGAGUAUGACCUUUCAGUGAUGAGCAGACAUAAAGUUUUCUCCCUGUUGUAUGAUAUGGUAUCAUGUGUCAUAAAAAGGAGUGAGGGGGAUGAUGGGGAUGUUUGGUGUUGUCUCCCUAUGUCCAAAUACCUUCCAUCAUGGAAAGGAACCGUUAAAAGGUCUUUUUCAUGCACUAGUGGCUUGGUUCUUGAUUUUCCAUUCUAAAAGAAGGAGAAGCUACAUUUCUAUUCUAUACAUCUCCCUAGCUUGUGAUAAAGACCUUGACCAAAAGCAACUUGGACAAGGAAGUGUUCAUUGGCUUCCAAAUCAGAGUUCUCCACUGAGUACAGUCAAACCAAUAAUUCAAGACGGGAACCAAGAUAUGGACCUGAAGGCGGGACCUUGACGGAGUGCUGCUCAUUGGCUUGCUCCUCAUGGCUAACUUUAUUUUCAUACAAUGCAUGACUACCUGUCCAAAUGAGGCACUGCUUACGGUAAGCCGUGUCCUCCCACAUUGAUAAUUAAUCAAGAAAACGCUUUUCACCACACACAUGCACACAUACAGAUUUGCUUCCAUGCCAAUAUGAUGUAGUAGUUUUUCAUUUGGGGUUCCCUCUUCCCACAUGACCCUAGUUUAUGUUAAGCUAGAAAAAAAAAAUCCAAAAACUAUCCGCCAGGGUGCUAUUUGAUGAUAGAUACAAAAUAUAGACUAAAAAAAAAAAAGGAUCCUGUUCAUUGUAAAACUCAGACUUACAUGUUAAGCAAUUAUUGUAAGCUUUAACAUUUUUCCAGUAAACACAUGAUUUUAUAAGGAAAAGUUCAGCUGUAAUGGAGGGAUGCUGAAGGAUAAAACAUUCUAAUGCAAUAAGGUAUAAUGCACAAAAGAGCCUAGCUAAUUUUCAAUGUAAUCUAUAUAAAAAUUCAAUGUGAUGUUUUGUUUUCUGUUGUUUCUAUAAAAUAAUAUCUACAUGUGCAUUAUAUAUAUGUAUGUGUACAUAUGUAUGUGCAUAUAUUUUUAAGUCUGCAAAACAUUUGUAGUUAAAGUAUA
Molecule: long non-coding RNA, 4407 nt
Organism: Peromyscus eremicus (cactus mouse)
Lineage: Eukaryota; Metazoa; Chordata; Mammalia; Rodentia; Cricetidae
Exons: 4
Source: RefSeq, a predicted model, not a curated record